Molecule: ribosomal RNA, 506 nt
Filed under: uncultured bacterium
Lineage: Bacteria
Description: partial 16S ribosomal RNA
Rfam family: Bacterial small subunit ribosomal RNA
Source: RNAcentral
AUUGAACGCUGGCGGCAGGCCUAUCACAUGCAAGUCGGACGGUAGCACAGAGGAGCUUGCUCCUCGGGUGACGAGUGGCGGACGGGUGAGUAAUGUCUGGGGAUCUGCCCGAUAGAGGGGGAUAACCACUGGAAACGGUGGCUAAUACCGCAUAACGUCGCAAGACCAAAGAGGGGGACCUUCGGGCCUCCCACUAUCGGAUGAACCCAGAUGGGAUUAGCUAGUAGGCGGGGUAACGGCCCACCUAGGCGACGAUCCCUAGCUGGUCUGAGAGGAUGACCAGCCACACUGGAACUGAGACACGGUCCAGACUCCUACGGGAGGCAGCAGUGGGGAAUAUUGCACAAUGGGCGCAAGCCUGAUGCAGCCAUGCCGCGUGUAUGAAGAAGGCCUUCGGGUUGUAAAGUACUUUCAGCGGGGAGGAAGGCGAUGUGGUUAAUAACCGCAUUGAUUGACGUUACCCGCAGAAGAAGCACCGGCUAACUCCGUGCCAGCAGCCGCAGUAA